UUUUUUUUUGUUUUUUUUUCUGCUCAGGACGAACGCUGGCGGCGUGCCUAAUACAUGCAAGUCGAGCGAAUCUGAGGGAGCUUGCUCCCAAAGAUUAGCGGCGGACGGGUGAGUAACACGUGGGUAACCUGCCUGUAAGAUUGGGAUAACUCCGGGAAACCGGAGCUAAUACCGGAUAACAUGUCGAACCGCAUGGUUCGACAUUGAAAGAUGGCUUCGGCUAUCACUUACAGAUGGACCCGCGGCGCAUUAGCUAGUUGGUGAGGUAACGGCUCACCAAGGCGACGAUGCGUAGCCGACCUGAGAGGGUGAUCGGCCACACUGGGACUGAGACACGGCCCAGACUCCUACGGGAGGCAGCAGUAGGGAAUCUUCCGCAAUGGACGAAAGUCUGACGGAGCAACGCCGCGUGAACGAUGAAGGCCUUCGGGUCGUAAAGUUCUGUUGUUAGGGAAGAACAAGUACCAGAGUAACUGCUGGUACCUUGACGGUACCUAACCAGAAAGCCACGGCUAACUACGUGCCAGCAGCCGCGGUAAUACGUAGGUGGCAAGCGUUGUCCGGAAUUAUUGGGCGUAAAGCGCGCGCAGGUGGUUUCUUAAGUCUGAUGUGAAAGCCCACGGCUCAACCGUGGAGGGUCAUUGGAAACUGGGGAACUUGAGUGCAGAAGAGGAAAGUGGAAUUCCAAGUGUAGCGGUGAAAUGCGUAGAGAUUUGGAGGAACACCAGUGGCGAAGGCGACUUUCUGGUCUGUACUGACACUGAGGCGCGAAAGCGUGGGGAGCGAACAGGAUUAGAUACCCUGGUAGUCCACGCCGUAAACGAUGAGUGCUAAGUGUUAGAGGGUUUCCGCCCUUUAGUGCUGCAGCAAACGCAUUAAGCACUCCGCCUGGAGUACGACGUG
RNAcentral lists this ribosomal RNA (903 nucleotides) under uncultured bacterium. Its description in RNAcentral is "bacterial SSU rRNA". It matches the Rfam family "Bacterial small subunit ribosomal RNA", at positions 1 to 889 of the family's 1533-position model. The record is from RNAcentral.